UACAGAGGGUGCAAGCGUUAAUCGGAAUUACUGGGCGUAAAGCGUGCGUAGACGGUCAUGUAAGUCGGGUGUGAAAGCCCCGGGCUCAACCUGGGAAUUGCAUUCGAGACUGCAUGGCUAGGAUGCGGAAGAGGGAAGCGGAAUUUCCGGUGUAGCGGUGAAAUGCGUAGAUAUCGGAAGGAACACCAGUGGCGAAAGCGGCUUCCUGGUCCGGCAUCGACGUUCAGGCACGAAAGCGUGGGGAGCAAACAGG
RNAcentral lists this ribosomal RNA (253 nucleotides) under uncultured bacterium. RNAcentral describes it as "partial 16S ribosomal RNA". It matches the Rfam family "Bacterial small subunit ribosomal RNA", at positions 524 to 776 of the family's 1533-position model. The record is from RNAcentral.